Molecule: unclassified non-coding RNA, 325 nt
Filed under: uncultured Paraglomerales
Lineage: Eukaryota; Fungi; Glomeromycota; Glomeromycetes; Paraglomerales
Description: sequence contains ITS2
Source: RNAcentral
AACGCAAAUUGCGCCUUCUUUCGGAAGGCAUGUCUGUUUGAGGGCACCAUUUAACAAAUAAUGUGCGCGUCGUUUUUACGAGCGAUGUGCACACGUUGAUGAGCUUUUCCGAAAAAACCAGGUUUUUUUGGUGGCGCAUAAUGAACAGCGUGGGCUUUUUCUUCGAUUCUCGUGUAGUAAAUGUUCAACGCUUGGGUUGAGAAAAAGUGCGUGCCGCGCAAUGGGUGUGGCGAAUUUUACCCCUGCCCCAAUGCCACUCUUUCCUUGCGAAAGAACAUCUUUUAUUCAGGGCCUCAAAUCAGACAAGAAUACCCGCUGAACUUAA